UACGUAGGGUGCGAGCGUUGUCCGGGAUUACUGGGCGUAAAGAGCUCGUAGGUGGUUUGUCGCGUUGUUCGUGAAAACUCACAGCUCAACUGUGGGCGUGCGGGCGAUACGGGCAGACUGGAGUACUGCAGGGGAGACUGGAAUUCCUGGUGUAGCGGUGGAAUGCGCAGAUAUCAGGAGGAACACCGGUGGCGAAGGCGGGUCUCUGGGCAGUAACUGACGCUGAGGAGCGAAAGCGUGGGGAGCGAACAGG
This 253-nucleotide ribosomal RNA is filed under the name uncultured bacterium. Its description in RNAcentral is "partial 16S ribosomal RNA". It matches the Rfam family "Bacterial small subunit ribosomal RNA", at positions 524 to 776 of the family's 1533-position model. The record is from RNAcentral.